CGCUUCAACUCAGCCCCAAGGACAAGCUACCCUCCAACUCAGUCCCAAGGUCACGCUACCCUUCAACUCAGUCCCAAGGUCACGCAACGCUUCAACUCAGUCCAAAGGACACGCUACCCUCCAACUCAGUCCCCAAGACACGCUACCCUCCAACUCAGUCCCAAAGACACGCUACCCUCCAACUCAGUCCCAAAGACACGCUACCCUCCAACUCAGUCCCAAGGACACGCUACCCUCCAACUCAGUCCCAAGGACACGCUACCCUCCAACUCAGUCCCAAGGACACGCUACCCUCCAACUCAGUCCCAAGGACACGCUACCCUCCAACUCAGUCCCAAGGACAGGCAACCCUCCAACUCAGUCCCAAGGACACGCUACCCUCCAACUCAGUCCCAAGGACACGCUACCCUCCAACUCAGUCCCAAAGACACGCUACCCUCCAACUCAGUCCCAAGGACACGCUACCCUCCAACUCAGUCCCAAAGACACGCUACCCUCCAACUCAGUCCCAAAGACACGCUACCCUCCAACUCAGUCCCAAAGACACGCUACCCUCCAACUCAGUCCCAAAGACACGCUACCCUCCAACUCAGUCCCAAAGACACGCUACCCUCCAACUCAGUCCCAAAGACACGCUGCCCUCCAACUCAGUCCCAAGGACACGCUGCCCUCCAACUUAGUCCCAAGGACACGCUGCCCUCCAACUCAGUCCCAAGGACACGCUACCCUCCAACUCAGUCCCAAGGACACGCUACCCUCCAACUCAGUCCCAAGGACACGCUACCCUCCAACUCAGUCCCAAAGACACGCUACCCUCCAACUCAGUCCCAAGGACACGCUACCCUCCAACUCAGUCCCAAGGACACGCUACCCUCCAACUCAGUCCCAAGGACACGCUACCCUCCAACUCAGUCCCAAAGACACGCUACCCUCCAACUCAGUCCCAAGGACUUGCUACUCAACCCUACAACUCAGUCCCAAAGACACGCUACCCUCCAACUCAGUCCCAAAGACACGCUACCCUCCAACUCAGUCCCAAAGACACGCUACCCUCCAACUCAGUCCCAAAGACACGCUACCCUCCAACUCAGUCCCAAGGACACGCUGCCCUCCAACUCAGUCCCAAGGACACGCUACCCUCCAACUCAGUCCCAAGGACACGCUACCCUCCAACUCAGUCCCAAGGACACGCUACCCUCCAACUCAGUCCCAAGGACACGCUACCCUCCAACUCAGUCCCAAGGACACGCUACCCUCCAGCUCAGUCCCAAAGAAAAGCCUAGCAACGUUGCAGUUCUUGACACAAACCGGUGUGCUUGGCACCUACUACCAUUCUCUGCUCAAAGGCACUUAAAUCUUUUGUCCUGCCCAUUCCGCCCUCUGAAUGGCACCCACACACAAUCCAUGUCUCAAUUAUCUCAAGACUUAAAAAUCCUUCUUUAA
This 1443-nucleotide long non-coding RNA is filed under the name Oncorhynchus mykiss (rainbow trout). RNAcentral's name for it is "lncRNA (ENSOMYG00000060348.1)". Lineage: Eukaryota; Metazoa; Chordata; Actinopteri; Salmoniformes; Salmonidae. The record is from RNAcentral.